RNAcentral lists this ribosomal RNA (383 nucleotides) under uncultured bacterium. RNAcentral describes it as "partial 16S ribosomal RNA". It matches the Rfam family "Bacterial small subunit ribosomal RNA", at positions 338 to 738 of the family's 1533-position model. The record is from RNAcentral.
CCUACGGGAGGCAGCAGUGGGGAAUAUUGCACAAUGGGGGAAACCCUGAUGCAGCGACGCCGCGUGAAGGAAGAAGUAUUUCGGUAUGUAAACUUCUAUCAGCAGGGAAGAAAAGGACGGUACCUGACUAAGAAGCCCCGGCUAACUACGUGCCAGCAGCCGCGGUAAGACGUAGGGGGCAAGCGUUAUCCGGAUUUACUGGGUGUAAAGGGAGCGUAGGCGGUUUAGCAAGUCAGAAGUGAAAGCCCGGGGCUCAACUCCGGGACUGCUUUUGAAACUGUUGAACUAGAUUGCAGGAGAGGUCAGUGGACUUCCUCGUGUAGCGGUUCACUUCGUCGAUAUUAGGCGGAACCCCAGUGGCGAAGGCGGCUUACUGGACUGUA